This 320-nucleotide ribosomal RNA is filed under the name uncultured soil bacterium. RNAcentral's name for it is "bacterial SSU rRNA". It matches the Rfam family "Bacterial small subunit ribosomal RNA", at positions 26 to 337 of the family's 1533-position model. The record is from RNAcentral.
AGAGUGAACGCUGGCGGUAGGCCUAACACAUGCAAGUCGAACGGCAGCACAGUAGGAGCUUGCUCUUACGGGUGGCGAGUGGCGGACGGGUGAGGAAUACAUCGGAAUCUACCUUUUGGUGGGGGAUAACGUAGGGAAACUUACGCUAAUACCGCAUACGCCCUUCGGGGGAAAGCCGGGACCAGCAAUGGCCUGGCGCUGAUAGAUGAGCCGAUGUCGGAUUAGCUAGUUGGUGAGGUAAUGGCUCACCAAGGCGACGAUCCGUAGCUGGUCUGGAGAGGAUGAUCAGCCACACGUGGAACUGAGACACGGUCCAGACU